GAUGAACGCUGGCGGCGUGCCUAAUACAUGCAAGUCGAGCGAACAGACGAGGAGCUUGCUCCUCUGACGUUAGCGGCGGACGGUGAGUAACACGUGGAUAACCUACCUAUAAGACUGGGAUAACUUCGGGAAACCGGAGCUAAUACCGGAUAAUAUAUUGAACCGCAUGGUUCAAUAGUGAAAGACGGUUUUGCUGUCACUUAUAGAUGGAUCCGCGCCGCAUUAGCUAGUUGGUAAGGUAACGGCUUACCAAGGCAACGAUGCGUAGCCGACCUGAGAGGGUGAUCGGCCACACUGGAACUGAGACACGGUCCAGACUCCUACGGGAGGCAGCAGUAGGGAAUCUUCCGCAAUGGGCGAAAGCUUGACGGAGCAACGCCGCGUGAGUGAUGAAGGUCUUCGGAUCGUAAAACUCUGUUAUUAGGGAAGAACAAAUGUGUAAGUAACUAUGCACGUCUUGACGGUACCUAAUCAGAAAGCCACGGCUAACUACGUG
Molecule: ribosomal RNA, 496 nt
Filed under: uncultured bacterium
Lineage: Bacteria
Description: partial 16S ribosomal RNA
Rfam family: Bacterial small subunit ribosomal RNA
Source: RNAcentral